Molecule: ribosomal RNA, 806 nt
Filed under: Bacillus sp. (in: firmicutes)
Lineage: Bacteria; Bacillati; Bacillota; Bacilli; Caryophanales; Bacillaceae
Description: bacterial SSU rRNA
Rfam family: Bacterial small subunit ribosomal RNA
Source: RNAcentral
AUACUGCAGUCGAGCGGACUAAUGGGAGCUUGCUCCCAGUUAGUUAGCGGCGGACGGGUGAGUAACACGUGGGCAACCUACCUGUAAGACUGGGAUAACUUCGGGAAACCGGAGCUAAUACCGGAUGACAUAAAGGAACUCCUGUUCCUUUAUUGAAAGAUGGCUUCGGCUAUCACUUACAGAUGGGCCCGCGGCGCAUUAGCUAGUUGGUGAGGUAACGGCUCACCAAGGCGACGAUGCGUAGCCGACCUGAGAGGGUGAUCGGCCACACUGGGACUGAAACACGGCCCAGACUCCUACGGGAGGCAGCAGUAGGGAAUCUUCCGCAAUGGACGAAAGUCUGACGGAACAACGCCGCGUGAGCGAUGAAGGCCUUCGGGUCGUAAAGCUCUGUUGUUAGGGAAGAAUAAGUGCUAGUUAAAUAAGCUGGCACCUUGACGGUACCUAACCAGAAAGCCACGGCUAACUACGUGCCAGCAGCCGCGGUAAUACGUAGGUGGCAAGCGUUGUCCGGAAUUAUUGGGCGUAAAGCGCGCGCAGGCGGUUUCUUAAGUCUGAUGUGAAAGCCCCCGGCUCAACCGGGGAGGGUCAUUGGAAACUGGGAAACUUGAGUGCAGAAGAGGAAAGUGGAAUUCCAAGUGUAGCGGUGAAAUGCGUAGAGAUUUGGAGGAACACCAGUGGCGAAGGCGACUUUCUGGUCUGUAACUGACGCUGAGGCGCGAAAGCGUGGGGAGCAAACAGGAUUAGAUACCCUGGUAGUCCACGCUGUAAACGAUGAGUGCUAAGUGUUAGAGGGUUUCCGCCCU